Molecule: ribosomal RNA, 568 nt
Filed under: uncultured Leptospirillum sp.
Lineage: Bacteria; Pseudomonadati; Nitrospirota; Nitrospiria; Nitrospirales; Nitrospiraceae
Description: bacterial SSU rRNA
Rfam family: Bacterial small subunit ribosomal RNA
Source: RNAcentral
AACUCAAAGGAAUUGACGGGGGCCCGCACAAGCGGUGGUGCAUGUGGUUUAAUUCGACGCAACGCGAAGAACCUUACCUGGGCUUGACAUGCCGCGAGUAGGAAACCGAGAGGGGACCGACCGGUUCAGUCCGGAAGCGGAACAGGUGCUGCAUGGCUGUCGUCAGCUCGUGCCGUGAGGUGUUGGGUUCAGUCCCGCAACGAGCGCAACCCUCGCCCUCUGUUGCCACCGGGUCAUGCCGGGCACUCUGAGGGGACUGCCAGCGACAAGUUGGAGGAAGGAGAGGAUGACGUCAAGUCAUCAUGGCCCUUAUGCCCAGGGCCACACACGUGCAACAAUGGCCGGUACAGACGAAAGCAAGACCGAGAGGUGGAGUAAAUCCGAGAAAGCCGGGCCCAGUUCGGAUUGAGGUCUGCAACUCGACCUCAUGAGGUCGGAAUCGCUAGUAAUCGCGUGCCAGCAGCCGCGGUAAUACGUUCCCGGGCCUUGCACACACCGCCCGUCAGUGUGCCAGCCGCCGCGGUAAUACGUAGGUGUGCCAGCAGCCGCGGUAAGUGCACACACCGCC